UGCUCCAGUGGCCUAAGUGGUUAGAGCGUCUGUCUCGGAUGCCGGAGGUAGUGGGUUCGAACCCUGACCUGGUCAU
Molecule: non-coding RNA, 76 nt
Organism: Potamilus streckersoni
Lineage: Eukaryota; Metazoa; Mollusca; Bivalvia; Unionida; Unionidae
Source: the annotation of a GenBank genome assembly